Molecule: ribosomal RNA, 399 nt
Filed under: Tolypocladium ophioglossoides
Lineage: Eukaryota; Fungi; Ascomycota; Sordariomycetes; Hypocreales; Ophiocordycipitaceae
Description: partial small subunit ribosomal RNA
Rfam family: Eukaryotic small subunit ribosomal RNA
Source: RNAcentral
GCUUGUCUCAAAGAUUAAGCCAUGCAUGUCUAAGUAUAAAUAGUAUACAGUGAAACUGCGAAUGGCUCAUUAAAACAGUUAUAGUUUAUUUGAUAAUUGAAAAUUACAUGGAUAACCGUGGUAAUUCUAGAGCUAAUACAUGCUAAAAAUCCCGACUUUCACGGAAGGGAUGUAUUUAUUAGAUUAAAAACCAAUGCCCUCUGGGCUCUCUGGUGAUUCAUGAUAACUUCUCGAAUCGCAUGGCCUUGCGCCGGCGAUGGUUCAUUCAAAUUUCUUCCCUAUCAACUUUCGAUGUUUGGGUAGUGGCCAAACAUGGUUGCAACGGGUAACGGAGGGUUAGGGCUCGACCCCGGAGAAGGAGCCUGAGAAACGGCUACUACAUCCAAGGAAGGCAGCAGG